RNAcentral lists this ribosomal RNA (492 nucleotides) under uncultured bacterium. Its description in RNAcentral is "partial 16S ribosomal RNA". It matches the Rfam family "Bacterial small subunit ribosomal RNA", at positions 29 to 507 of the family's 1533-position model. The record is from RNAcentral.
AGUGAACGCUGGCGGUAGGCCUAACACAUGCAAGUCGAACGGCAGCACAGUAAGAGCUUGCUCUUACGGGUGGCGAGUGGCGGACGGGUGAGGAAUACAUCGGAAUCUACUUUUUCGUGGGGGAUAACGUAGGGAAACUUACGCUAAUACCGCAUACGACCUACGGGUGAAAGCAGGGGAUCUUCGGACCUUGCGCGAUUGAAUGAGCCGAUGUCGGAUUAGCUAGUUGGCGGGGUAAAGGCCCACCAAGGCGACGAUCCGUAGCUGGUCUGAGAGGAUGAUCAGCCACACUGGAACUGAGACACGGUCCAGACUCCUACGGGAGGCAGCAGUGGGGAAUAUUGGACAAUGGGCGCAAGCCUGAUCCAGCCAUACCGCGUGGGUGAAGAACGCCUUCGGGUUGUAAAGCCCUUUUGUUGGGAAAGAAAAGCAGCAGGUUAAUACCCCGCUGUUCUGACGGUACCCAAAGAAUAAGCACCGGCUAACUUCGUG